UCAAUAAGCGGAGGAAAAGAAACCAACUGGGAUUGCCUUAGUAACGGCGAGUGAAGCGGCAAUAGCUCAAAUUUGAAAGCUGGCGCCUUCGGCGUCCGCGUUGUAAUUUGUAGAGGAUGCUUCGGCGAGGACUCCUGCCUAAGUUCCCUGGAAUGGGACGUCACAGAGGGUGAGAAUCCCGUAUGUGGCGGGCGGUCCAAGCCAUGUGAAGCUCCUUCGACGAGUCGAGUUGUUUGGGAAUGCAGCUCUAAAUGGGAGGUAAAUUUCUUCUAAAGCUAAAUACCGGCCAGAGACCGAUAGCGCACAAGUAGAGUGAUCGAAAGAUGAAAAGCACUUUGGAAAGAGAGUUAAAAAGUACGUGAAAUUGUUGAAAGGGAAGCGCUUGCAACCAGACUCGCUCGCAGUUGCUCAGCCUGCCUCUUGGCGGGUGUACUCUUCUGUGAUCGGGCCAGCAUCAGUUCGGGCGGCCGGAUAAAGGUGUCGGGAAUGUAGCACCCUUCGGGGUGUGUUAUAGCCCGGCGCGGAAUGCGGCCAGCCUGGACUGAGGAUCUCGCUUCGGCAAGGAUGCUGGCGUAAUGGUUGUAAGCGGCCCGUCUUGAAACACGGACCAAGGAGUCUAACAUCUAUGCGAGUGUUUGGGUGUCAAACCCAUGCGCGUAAUGAAAGUGAACGGAGGUGGGAACCCGCAAGGGUGCACCAUCGACCGAUCCUGAUGUCUUCGGAUGGAUUUGAGUAAGAGCAUAGCUGUUGGGACCCGAAAGAUGGUGAACUAUGCCUGAAUAGGGUGAAGCCAGAGGAAACUCUGGUGGAGGCUCGCAGCGGUUCUGACGUGCAAAUCGAUCGUCAAAUUUGGGUAUAGGGGCGAAAGACUAAUCGAACCAUCUAGUAGCUGGGUC
RNAcentral lists this ribosomal RNA (896 nucleotides) under Phyllosticta hostae. RNAcentral describes it as "partial 28S ribosomal RNA". It matches the Rfam family "Eukaryotic large subunit ribosomal RNA", at positions 43 to 957 of the family's 3401-position model. The record is from RNAcentral. Lineage: Eukaryota; Fungi; Ascomycota; Dothideomycetes; Botryosphaeriales; Phyllostictaceae.